GGGAGCUACCUGUAAAGAAGCAGGGGAGGAGAAACAGCCAGCAGGAGGAUAGCUGACACCCACAGAACUCCCUUUGAUGUGAUAAAAAGUACAGCCAGCUUUGAGGAGUAUAGGCAAGUAAGAAUCCAAACAGCCUUUGAUCCAAUGCGGUUGUCCACGGAAAGUCUCUACAGCCAGCUUUGAGGAGUAUAGGCAAGUUAGAAUCCAAACAGCCUUUGAUCCAAUGCGGUUGUCCACGGAAAGUCUCCUCACAACCGCCAAACCAACAAAAGUAGUUAAGACAACCAUAUAACUUGGGUACAUCACAUCAUCCUCCAACCCAUAAUAGU
Molecule: long non-coding RNA, 329 nt
Filed under: Nicotiana benthamiana
Lineage: Eukaryota; Viridiplantae; Streptophyta; Magnoliopsida; Solanales; Solanaceae
Description: long non-coding RNA (NBEN_LNC025488)
Source: RNAcentral